GAUCAUGUACAAGAAUUUACCCAGGAAUCAAUUCACGAGUACACAAUCACGAAGUGCACGACCAGUGCUAACAGGUAAGAGCAAGGUACAAGUAUAUAGCAUACAAGUAACAAUAAAGAGAGAACAUCUAUCUAUUACAUCCAUUCAAUUCACAAAUUUACAUCUCAUUUACAUUACAUUUAAACUUCCAAAAUAUAAACAUAAAGCUUACAUUUCCAAAAUGAAACCUCACACCCUAUACAUCAUCUACUCUCAAGUACAACGGGUGGCUCUAAUGCAAAAGGAAGGUAAGCUAAUGCAACUAGGGCGCUAGGCCCUUACCGCGAUCCUCGCCGGGUGAACUCGCACUCGGCCCUGCAAUAAAGUGGGGUGAGAACUAUUGUCCAUAGUUCCCAGUGGGUUCGGCCGCCGACUCCGCCGGUCUCCCCACUAGGUCCAAGUGGGCACAAAUAGAUAAACAGAUAGAUAGAUAUGGAAAGCUGUAAGGACAGAAUAGAAAACUACACUACUAUACCCGAAUCAUAAAUAUAUGAAUGCACGUUCAUAGAAAUAGGUAAGCAACUAACUCGUCAUCAUGUCCAAGAAGUAAAGCUAUUUACUUGUUCAUUAAUCUCAUGGCUCACCCGAGGGUUCGCCUACUACUCACAUAGCCAUCUUGACGCGUAGGGAGACUCAACUCAAACUACGAAUCCGAGACCGUCUGCGGGACCCCACAUAGGCUAUCCCUCGGGACCCCAAAUAGGCUAUCCCUAUCCCACGGGACCCCAAAUAGGCUAUCCCACGUGACCAACUCCGGAGCGCACUACUUGUGUGGAGCUACCAUCACAAGUUCUGAACAGACAGUGAGUAUAAUCCAAUCCUCUUAUCUCGAGGAUACCCUAUCCUCUAGGGUUACUAUCAUCGGAAAGUCAAUAGGUUUCAUAUACACUAAGACUCACAUAUGCCACUCGUUCUUUGUUUACUAUCAACUAGGUGCCACUCGUUCUUUUGUUUAUUAUCAACUAGAUGCCACUCGUUCUUUUGUUUUCAACCAUCGAGUCCAUUUUCAUCUCUGCAUUAUAGGAUUCAUAAGUCUCGACCCAAUCCUCAUCAAUCCACUAUAUCAAGCAACUAAUGUACACUAUGAUAUCAUCUAGGAAAGCAUAAGGAAAGGCAAUGCACAAUUAUCCUACAAUGCAUGUGAAUACAAGAUGCAAGAUUUCAAUGUACUAAGACAUAGGAGGGAGUCCAGUUGCUUCGGGAUGGUCACCACCCACCUCUUGGUAGUGCCACGAAAUUAGAAAACCCAACGUCGCUUCAACUCCUCGGGGCAACCAAACCCUCAAGUACUUGUUUUGGCGAUAACUCCGCACCCGCUCGUCGGAUCGACGAACCGUCUUCGCCAACGUUUUUAUAGACCUAGCAAUUAGGUUUACAGAGGGUUAAUUGAGAUCAAACCCCCAUAUUUCCAAAAAUUGCAUUUUGAACCCUAGGUUUCAACUUUUGCAAAAAUUCACAAAAUUGAUCCAUGAUUUAGGCAACAAUCAUCUAUUUAGCAUCAUAGGAUUCCAAUAAAUCCAUUUUUAUAGCAUAUAAAUAAAGCCCUAAAAUUCUACCAUUAUAGGGUUUUGAAGUGCCCUAGGUUUCAACAACGAGGAAAUCCAUGGUUCAAGCUUCAAAUUCGAGCUAGGACCAUCUAACUAGCUCCAAUAGGUUCCAUUCGAACCAAUUCUAAACCAUAAAACCCUAUCUUAAGGAAUCUACCAUUAUAGGGUUUUGGAGCUUACCUCUAAAAGCUUCUCCGAGGUUGAGGGAGAGGAGGAAGAAGAUGAUCUUCCUCUUCUUGGUCUUCUUCUCCUUCCUUCUUUCUUUUCUUUUUCCUUUCUUUUCCUUCUCCUUUCCUUCUUCUUUCUUUCUUUCUUUCUUUCUUUCUAGAGAGAGAGAGGGAAAAGAAUGUGAGAGUGGGAGAGAAUGAGAGAACGUGAGGGAGAAGGUGUGUGUGUGUGUGUGUGUGUGUGUGUACACGCAUGCAACCAGCCCACAUGUAGGUGCUGUAACAAUUGCACAAAACCCCCUCUCACACCUAUUACAACUUGUAGUUUCGCAGUUUGGAACAGUCGGAGCCCUUUUGAAUGUCCGUUUGCGCUCAAAUUCGACAGGCAGGCUUGGUUUAAUGUACUGAGCAAGAAUAUAUCUUAAGUUUUCAGUUUCGACCCCGUUUGGUCACCGAAAACUAUGCCAAACUGUAAUCUUUAGCAGAUAGCAGUUCGAUUUUAUUCUCCACCUUCCGGGUGUCAGAAUGGGCCAAAACUUUAAAUCUAACCUCAUAAAAAUAAUUCUGACGUAUCCUCCAGUUUUCAUAAUUUUCUGACACUGUACAUUUUCUGCUAAUUUCUCUGCCCCGUUUCUCAUAGAAAAUUCUAAAUUUUCUGUUUUCGCUCCGAUUUCAGUACAGGUCAUUUCCAACUUAUAUUUUACUUCUAUGAGUCCAAUAAAAUAGUAUCUCAUACUAUUUUUAUUUAUAUUUAUUUUUAUAAUAAACUCCGACAUACUAUAUCCUAACGUAACUUCUUAUUUUCAGAAGUUCGGUAUCCUACAAGAGGGCUACUAGAGUCCUCUUCUAUGUCCACACUCCAAAACCCUAGGAACUAGGUAGAAAUCGCAAAGAGAAAGAAGAGAGAGAAGAAGGAAGAUAGAUCGUAGAUUCUCUUAGAUCAAAUUAGAUCGUAUGAUACGGGAGAGAAAAUGGGACAUAUUUAUAGAAUAACGGAACCCCUAAAAUAUCCCGAAUCUGACAUAGAGAUUAGGAUUAGGAUAUUCAUAAUAGACAUCUACUAGGAAAUACGUUUCUUACCUAAUAAGAAGCAUUUAAUCCAUCCUUAUCUUUAACUUAUAAGGAUAAACAGGAUCGGGUUAAAUUAAUAUUCGCCAAUGUGGACGCACUAUAUGGCAACUAGGGGUGGAAACGAGCCGAGCUCGAGCGAGCUUACCUCGGCUCAAAUUCGGCUUGAAAUUAAUUUCGAGCUUAAAUUUAAGCUCAAGCUUGGAUUGAAANCGAAUCCUCAUCAAUCCACUAUAUCAAGCAACUAAUGCAUAAUAUGAUAUCAUCUAGGAAAGUAUAAGGAAAGGCAAUGCACAAUUAUCCUACAAUGCAAGUGAAUACAAUAUGCAAGAUCUCAAAGUACUAAGACAAGGGGAGUCCAGUUGCUUCGGGAUGGUCACCACCCACCUUUUGGUAGUGUCGCGAUAGUAGAAAACUCGACUUCGUAGUCCUUGGUUGACGCUUCGACUCCUCGGGUCGAUUCGAACCCCUAAGUGCUUGGUUCGGCUAUAUCUUUGCACCCACUCGUCGUAUCGAUGAACCGUCUUCGCCGACGCGUUCAGAGACCUAGCAAUUAGGUUUACAACCCGUCGAAAUAGAUCAAGACCCCACGUUUUCAAAAAUCCCAAAACACGCCAUAGAAUGGCAACGAGGGAGAAAUCUAUGGUUCAAGCAAUAAAACCCAAUCUCAAGAAAUCCACCAUGGAUGGGUUUGGGGCUUACCUCUAUACCAAGAUCCAAGCUUGCUCUAACUUGAAGGAGAGAGGGAAGAAGAUGAUAUUCUUCUUCUUCUUGGUCUUCUCAUUCCUCUUUCUCUUUUUUUCCUUCUUUCCCUUCUCUCCUUCUCUUUUUCUUUUCCUUUCGUUCUAGAGAGAGAGAGAGGGAGAGAGAGAGAGAGCAAAUGAGAUAAAUGGGAGAGGGAGAGAGGUCCCCCACCUCUCAUAUAGGCCAUUUUACAAAUAGGCCCCUCAACUUUCCAUCUAUUAAACAGCCCUCACUGGGCUGAUUUUGCAGCGAGGGACCGGUCCCAAGUCAGGGAGAUCGGUCCCUGAGAGCCUUCCAUCUCGGGCAGAGAGAGUUUCGUGUUCGGGAACCGGUCCCUGCUCGAGAGACCGGUCCCCGGGAGACCGGUCCUUGCCUCGGAGACCGGUUCCCGAGAGUUAGAUUUUCGGGACUUAACCAAAUUUCGGCUAUUUCUCGCUGGGUUAACGUUCGGGGACCGGUCCUCCCCUGCCAGGGACCGGUUGCAUCAAGGAUCCCCGCAAGCCCAGCCUAAUGGGACUGGUCCGUCCCUGCCAGGGACCGAUCCCCGAGAGCAAUUAUGCUCCAGUGCAGAUUUUGCACUGCUGCUCUCGCGGACUCUUCCUUAAUGCACUUUAUGCAUUAUAAUCACCUUCGGACUUUCCGGAGCUUACUCACUCGACAGCUAGUCGAUUCUAGACGAAGUCAAAUCCUCAGAUUUCGAGAAUUCACUUCCUUACAUCCUUCCCACCUUAAAAGAGUUUCGUCCUUGAAACAAACUCAAUACUACAAAACUUAUUUAGAACUUUAAAUUCUAAACUCAUACCUUGAUUUAAUCCUCGAACAAGUGAGGGUGAUUCGCUUUCAUCUCCUUCUCGAGCUCCCAGGUGGCUUCGCGAUCGCUAUGAUUGCUCCACCGAACCUUAACAUAUGGAAUUUCUCGAUUCCUUAACUUGCGCACUUCACGAGCUGUAAUUGCAACCGAAAACUCCUCGUAGCUCAGGUCUUCCUGAAGUUCCGGCUGUUCAUACAACAUUGCGUGCUCGGGAUCAGGUAUGUACUUGCAAAGAUUGGAGACGUGGAAUAUAUUGUGCACAUCCGCGAGCUUCGGCGGCAAUGCUAAUCGAUAAGCCACCGUCCCAAUCCGCUCCAAGAUCUCAUAAGGGCCAAUGUAUCGGGGACUUAGUUUUUCCCGAACUCCAAAUCGCUUAACGCCUCGCUUGGGCGAAACCUUCAAGAAAACGCGGUCGCCUACCGCAAACUCCAAGUCUUGCCGGUGCCUAUCUGCAUAGCUCUGUUGUCGAGACUGCGCUGUGAGUAGCCUCUUGCGAGCAAGGCGGACUUUCUCUUCUGCCUCUCGCAAUACAUCGGGACCAAACUCCGUGCACUCGCCCACAUCGCUCCAAUAAAUGGGAGAUCGGCACUUCUGCCCAUAAAGAGCCUCGAAUGGUGCCAUCUCCACACUAGCAUGGUAGCUGUUGUUGUAGGCAAACUCGGCCAUCGGUAAAUACUUGCACCAUCCACCUUUAUAAUCAAUGACACACUCUCGCAGCAUAUCCUCUAGUGUUUGAAUGGUUCUCUCGGUUUGCCCAUCUGUCUGAGGAUAGAAUGCGGUGCUGAAAUCGAGCCGCGUGCCAAGAGCCUCCUGCAGGCUUUUCCAGAAAUGUGAAGUGAACUUGGGGUCUCUAUCCGACACAAUUGUCUUCGGUACCCCGUGCAACCUCACUACCUCAUCAAGAUAUACCUGCGCCAGCUUAUCUCCCGCCCAGGUGGUGUGGAACGGCAAAAAGUGCGCUUAUUUAGUCAAGCGAUCCACAAUCACCCAAAUUGCGUCGUGGCCCCCUGUCGAGCGAGGCAAGCCAACGACGAAAUCCAUCGAUAUGUCCUCCCAUUUCCAGACGGGGAUAGGUAGGCUUUGAAGCUUUCCUGCUAGAAAUCGGCGCUCCGCUUUCACUUGCUGACAAGUCAAACACUUCGCCACGAAGCGCCCAAUAUCAACUUUCAUCCCCGGCCACCAAUAGAGUGCUCUCAACUCAUGAUACAUCUUGGUGCCGCCCGGGUGAUCAGUAUAUGGAGACCGGUGAGCUUCUUGUAAAAUCAGCUCACGAAGCUCCUCAUUCUCGGGCACACACCACCGGUUUCGAAACCGAAGUGCGCCCCUGGCGUCUACACUGAAAUCGCCGCCUCGACCUUCCUCGAUGUUACGCCUCACCUUUUGGAGACUCGGAUCUGCAGGUUGCAAAAUCCUGAUCCUCUCUAACAAGGUUGCCUGAACAACGAGCGCCAUUAGUCGAGUCGGAGUUUUUGGAGUCACCACCUCGAGAUCUAUUCGCUCCAUGUCCAACCAUAGGGGCGAUUGAUUAGUAACCCACAUUGCGAGGUUCUCCGCCGACUUCCUACUAAGCGCGUCCGCGACCACAUUCGCUUUGUCGGGGUGGUAGAGAAUAUUGACAUCAUAAUCCUUUAACAACUCCAACCAUCGCCAUUGACGCAUAUUCAACUCCUUCUGGGUAAAUAGAUAUUUCAGACUUUUGUUGUCGGUGUAGAUCUCGCAGUGCGCGCCAUAUAGGUAGUGCCUCCACAACUUCAACGCAAAGAUCACCGCCGCCAACUCCAAGUCAUGAAUGGGAUAAUUCUUCUCAUGGUCCUUUAACUGACGGGAUGCAUAAGCUAUCACUCUCCCGCCUUGCAUCAGGACACACCUCAAACCCAGAUAGGAUGCAUCACUAUAGACCGCAAAGUCCUCGCCCUGCACCGGUAAGGCGAGUAUCGGAGCCGAAGUUAACCUUUCCUUUAACUCGUUAAAACUCCGGUCACAACCGUCGCUCCAAAUAAACUUGACGCCCUUUUGCGUCAGACAGGUGAGCGGAGUCACAAUCUUCGAAAAACCCUCCACAAACCGUCGAUAGUAACCCGCUAAGCCUAUAAAGCUUCGGACCUCCGAGACGUUCGUUGGGCGCGGCCAAUUCUCAACUGCUUCGACUUUUCUCGGGUCAACUGAAACACCGCCCUCAGAAAUCACGUGCCCCAGGAAGGCGACCUCUCGAAGCCAGAAGUCACAUUUCUUUAGCUUCGCAAAUAGCUUCUCCUCCCGAAGGAUUUGAAGCACUAUUCGCAAAUGCUCCGCAUGCUCCUCGUCGCUCCGCAAAUAGACCAAGAUGUCGUCUAUGAAGACCACGACAAAUCGGUCCAAGCACGCCUUGAACACACGGUUCAUUAGAUCCAUGAAUGCUGCCGGGGCAUUAGUGAGCCCGAAAGGCAUAAUCGUGUACUCAUAGUGUCCAUAUCGCGUGCGAAACGCGGUUUUCUGAACAUCCUUCGACUUAAUCUUUAACUGAUGAUAGCCGGAUUGUAGGUCUAUCUUCGAGUACACUCGUGAUCCCUGUAACUGAUUGAAUAAGUCGUCGAUUCGGGGCAACGGGUACUUAUUCUUUAUCGUGACCCUAUUCAACUCUCGAUAAUCCACGCAGAGUCGAAACGAGCCAUCCUUCUUGCACACGAACAACACCGGGGCUCCCCACGGCGACACGCUCGGCCUGAUAAACCCCUUGUCGGGGAGAUCUUGCAACUGAUCCCUCAGCUCCCUUAGCUCUGCCGGCGCCAUACGAUACGGAGCCUUUGAGAUCGGCGCCGUCCCGGGAGCCAAGUCUAUAACAAACUCGAUCUCCCGAUCCGGCGGCAUCCCCGGUAACUCCAUGGGAAAUACAUCUGGGAAUUCCCGCACCACCGAUAAUUCUUCUAAAUUCGGAGCCACUCCCACAACGGUAGCCAAAAAUGCUACGCAGCCGCCGUUGACCAACUUUCUAGCUCUCGUCGCUGAUACCAUCGCAACGAAGCAAGAAUUUCGACAAGCUCGAUAAACGAACUCCUUCUGUCCGGGCUCCCGAAAGGUGAUCAAUUUGUUCUUACAAUCGAUCAUAGUGUAAUAUUUUGAGAGCCAGUCCAUGCCCAAAAUAACGUCAUACGCCUCUAAUUUAUUGAGUUCCAACAUCCUAAUGGGCAUUAUCCACUUGCCUACUUGCACUGGGCACGACGAGCACUCUGUGUAGGUAUUGAAUGACGACUCAGGGCCUUCCACUCGCCACUUGCCACUUGCUUCUAUGUGUAUGUCGUGCAUGCAUGCAAAUGCUCUACUAAUGAACGAAUGCGUGGUACCUGUAUCAAAGAUAGCCCUGGAGCGAACUCCGUUAAUUAAAACCAUACCUGCCAUGACGUCAGGCUCCUCGGCUUGGGUAGACUCCUCGGUUUGGGCCUGAGCGGCAAAUACCCGCCCGCUCGGUGCUGACCGGGUCACCUCCGGCUGACGCAGCAUCAGUGCGCGUCCCGCUGAUACGGGAACAUAUGGGGCCCCUCCAUGAUGAGGCGGGGGUGCUAGAGUUGACGCCGCUGACGGAGUAGACGAGGCCCUUGCUGGACAGUCGCAGCUUAUGUGCCCUUCCUGCCCGCAGUCGUAGCAUUUACCUUGACAUUGCUUACACUGCGGCGCUCGAUGACCUCGGCCUCCACAGAUAAUGCAUUGCUGCAGCCCACGGCCCCACGACUGCGACCGUGGAUACUUCGGGGGCCUCCUGGAACUAGAUUGUGCCCCCGAACCACCGCCCGAUCGCUUCCUCCCCUUGUCUUGGGAUCCAGUCAACAACUCACGUUCCUCCCGUACGUGGGCAUCUCCAUACUCUGCCCACAGCGCUCUGUCGAAGACUUUAGCAAAGGUCGUGAGCUUGAACAGCUGCACUGCUCUAUAUAUCCAUGGCCGAUGUCCCCGCAGGAACCACUCGGCUUGAUCCGCGUCAUCUUUAACAACGUCUGGGACGCAAUCUAUAAUAUGGGAGAACUCCUGCUCGUAGUCUGCUACUGAACGAUCCCCCUGUCUCAAUUUGCAGAACUUUUCCUUCAACUUCCGCUUCUCGGUGUCGGGGAAGUAAUUUCCGAACAUUGCCCCCUUAAACUCCUCACAGAGCAUUGGUGGAAGGUCAGAGGGCCGAUCCCGCUUCAACCGCUUCCACCACACCUUCGCCGCCUUUUCGAGGCAAUGGGUGGCGAGGGGCACCUUAUCCUUCUCCAGGGUAUAUAAGUCCUCGAAGAGGGUCUCCAUAGAGUCAAUCCAAGACUCCACCAUCGACGGCUCCACUUUCCCCCCCUCAAAGGUUGGUGGUUUAAAUUUCAUGAAUUUCAUUAGAGCCGUCAGCGCACACUCUCGCUCUACUUCCUCGGCCGUCGUAUCAAGUGUCGCCGAACCAGAAGUUUUCGGAGGUGCACAUGUCGGCGGGGGAACUGCCGCCACCGGAACCGCCGCUAUGCCCUCACCCUCAGCCGCUUCAGGCGCGCGGGCUGAGGGUGCGGGUGGAUCACGGCUUCCAGUCGCUGUCGCGGCCGCCGCCGCCGCUGCCGCUCCACGAAUCCCUGGAGCUGCUCAAACCGAGCCUCCUGGCGCUGCAUCGCGCCCAACAAUGCAGCGACCUGCUCGCGCAGUUCCUGCACUUCCUCCGAUCUUGGCUGCUCGGGCACCGUAGUAGGCGGCACCGGAACAGACCUACGUACGUAACAUCUUGGGGACAUUUGCUCCUGAAAAGCAACAACUCGGUUAGUUAUCUUAAUCCGAUAACUUCUUAGCGUUCGCGAAAUUGAACGACUCGACAAUGAAAUCGGGCGGAAGUACGUAAGUGUUCUAGUGCUGGACCCUUAGCAUCGCGUCGUCGGCCGCCGACACAACCACUCCGAGCCAAGAAACUAGUGUCACUUGGAUCCGUCUCUAUUCACAGCUAGAGACAUAACAUCAACUCUGACCCAAUCGAUCAACUCCCGCCACCGUCAUGGGUUCGCGUUCACUCACGCCCCUACAAUCUUAGGGUUUACCAACCUAGGGUCUCCUAGGUCAUCCUAGACUCUCUCUUUACUUGCUCUUAACGCUCUGAUACCACUUUAUCUGUCACGCCCCGAGACCGCUACCAAUUCGGUCCGGUUCAAGCGCGUCAAACAGACGCCGAACGCACAGCACCUCCUCUGUCCGUCCAAGGCUAAGCAAACUGAUCAUGUAUAAGAAUUUACCCAGGAAUCAAUUCAUACAUACACGAUCACAAGGAGCACCACUAGUGCUAACAAAUAAGAGCAAGAUACAAGUAUGAGACAUACAAGUAAAUAAAGAGAGAAGGUUCUAUCUAUUACAUUCAUUCAAUCUCUUUAAUACAUCGAUUUACUUUCAAAAUAUGAACAUAAAUAUAACAUGCUUUUACAUCUUCCAAAAUAACCUCACACCUAUACAUCAUCUACUCUCAAAUACAAAGGGUGACGGCUAAUGCAAAAGGAAGUAAAGCUAGCUAUGUACAUAUACCACUAGGGCGCUAUGCCCUUGCCACGAUCCUCGCGCUCGCAGGGGGCACUCGAACUCGGACCUGUAGAGAGUGGGGUGAGGACUAUCUUCUAUAGUUCCCAGUGGGUUCGGCCGCCGACUCCGCCGGUCUCCCCACUAGGUUCAAGUGGGCACAAGUAGAUAAACAAAUAGAUAGAUAUGGAAAGCUGUGAAGACAGAAUAGUAAAGCUACACUACUAUGCCCGAAUCAUGUAUAUGAAUGCAUGCACAAUGAAAUAGAUAAUCAACUAGCUCGUCACAUGUCCAAGAAGUAAAGUUAUCUACCUGUCCAUUAAUCUCGUGGCGCACCCGAGGGUUCGCCUACAACUCACAUAGCCAUCUCGACGCAUAGGGAGACUAGACUCAAACUACAAUCCGAGACCGUUUGUGGGACCCCACAUAGGCCAUCCCUCAGGACCCCAAAUAGGCCAUCCCUAUCCCACGGGACCCCAAAUAGGCUAUCCAACGUGACCGACUCCGGAGCGCACUACUUGUGUGGAGCGACCAUCACAAGUUAGGAACAGACAGUGAGUAUGAUCCCAUCCUCUCAUCUCGAGCAUACCCUAUCCUCUAGGGUUACUAUCACCAUAAGUCAAUGGGUUUCAUAUACGCUACGACUCACAUAUGCCACUCGUUCUUUGUUUAUUAACAACUAGAUGCCACGCGUUCUUUUGCUUUCAACAAAUGAGUCAUUCUUUCAUCUCUGCACUAUAGGAUUUACAAGCCUCGACCCAAUCCUCAUCAAUCCACUAUAUCAAGCAACUAAUGCAUAAUAUGAUAUCAUCUAGGAAAGCAUAAGGAAAGGCAAUGCACAAUUAUCCUACAAUGCAAGUGAAUUCAAUAUGCAAGAUCUCAAAGUACUAAGACAUAAAGGGGAGUCCAGUUGCUUCGGAAUGAUCACCACCCACCUUUUGGUAGUGCCGCAAUAGUAGAAAACUCGACUUCGUAGUCCUUGGUUGACGCUUCGACUCCUCGGGUCGAUUCGAACCCCUAAGUGCUUGGUUCGGCGAUAUCUUCGCACCCACUCGUCGUAUCGACGAACCGUCUUCGCCGACGCGUUCCGAGACCUAGUAAUUAGGUUUACAACCCGGCGAAAUAGAUCAAGACCCCACGUUUUCAAAAAUCCCAAAACACGCCAUAGAAUGGCAACGAGGGAGAAAUCUAUGGUUCGAGCUUCAAAUCCGCUGCUAGAACCCUCUAUUUAUCUCCUCUAGGUUCCAUUCGAACAACCUCUAAGCAAUAAAACCCAAUCUCAAGAAAUCCACCAUGGAUGGGUUUGGGGCUUACCUCUAUACCAAGGUCCAAGCUUGCUCUAGCUUGUAGGAGAGGGAAGAAGAUGAUCUUCUUCUUCUUCUUGGUCUUCUCUUUCCUCUUUCUCUUCUUUUCCUUCUUUCCCUUCUUCUCCUUCUUUUCUUCUUUUCUUUUCGUUCUAGAGAGAGAGAGGGAGAGAGAGAGAGAGCAAAUGUGAUAAAUGGGAGAGAGAGAGAGAGAGGUCCCCCACCUCUCAUAUAGGCCAUUUUACAAAUAGGCCCCUCAACUUUCUAUCUAUUAAACAGCCGUCACUCGGCUGAUUUCACAGCGAGGGACCGGUCCCAAGUCGGGGAGACCGGUCCCCGAGAGCUUUUCAUCUCGGGCAGAGAGAGUUUCUCAUUCGGGAACCGGUCCCUGCUCGAGAGACUGGUCCCCAGGAGACCGGUCCUUGCCUGGGAGACGGGUUCCCGAGAGUUAGAUUUUCGGGACUUAGCCAAAUUUUGGCUAUUUCUCGCUGGGUUAAUGUUUGGGGAUCGGUCCUCCCCUGCUAGGGACCAGUUGCAUCAAGGAUCCCCGCAAGCCUAGCCUAAUGGGACCGGUCCGUCCCUGCCAGGGACCGGUCCUCGAGAGCAAUUCUGCUCCAGUGCAGAUUUUGCACUACUGCUCUCGCGGACUCUUCCUUAAUGCACUUUAUGCAUUAUAAUCACCUUCGGACUUUCCGGAGCUUACUCACUCGACAACUAAUCGAUUCUAGAUGAAGUCAAAUCCUCGGAUUUCGAGAAUUCACUUUCUUACAGAUAUGCUCCGAAACCUUCAAGACUUCAACUCAAUCUACGAAACUUGCCAACAUACAAGACUUAAUAAGUUUCGUCCCCAAAACUUGCCUGCAGGCAGGGAUGAUUCUGUACUUAACGAACCAGAACCAUACAUGCAUGCAAUGCAAAAAAGAUGCGUGAUAACGAAGCAUGCAAUUUACAACAACAACAACAUUAUACCCGUGACCACGUCAGCCGACUGAUCAUCCUCCUGACGUGUCAUCAUGUAGGCAUGUCCGUCAGUGGUCUGGUGUACCUUCUUUACCUGACGGGAUGUCGAGGGGCGUCCAGACGAAGGAUACGUUGUACUUCCAUGAUCCUGCCAUGGAGCUGCUGGAGUAGAUGCUGCUGCAGAUGCUGCUCCUACUCCACUGGUGCAAUCUGCCCGAAGGUGUCCACGUUGGCCACACAUGUAAUAGUGAUUGUGGCACUGUGGGCACUCGAUAACCUUGUGAGCCUCUCUGCAGAUAACACAAGGUCUGAUGCUCUGCUGCUGAGACGUAGCGGGGGCGCUGCUCGAUCCUUACUGCGCCUUGUGAUGCUUGGGUGGUCGUCUAUUGCCCGAUUGACCACCAGCAAAACUUUCCUGGGUACGCUUCCUACCCUCAGUCUUCACGGAUGCGUCCUGUUCGAUUCGAGCCUCGUCCAUAUCACUUUGCACCAUCAAGGCCCGAUCCAAGCUCUCGUCGAACGUCAACGCGCCAUGGGACGCGAUCAGAAGUCGAAUACCGGGCUUUAGCCCUCGCAAACAACCUUGCCUUGUGAUACUCAUCAUGAACCACGAAUAGAAUCAGUGAAAUAAUGCAAGAGAAGUCUCGUUCAUACUCUGCUACGGUAUGACUACCUUGCUUGAGACGCUCAAGCUCGCGCUCCAAGCUCUGCUUAGUGCUGUCCUUGAAGUACUGCUCGUAAAGGAGUUUACGGAACUCCUCCCAGCGUGGAUAGAUGCUCCCAAGUUUGCGCUCGAAGUGGCUGAUCCACCACGAAUACAAAUCCCCCUCAAGACAGUGAGCAGCUAGCGGUACGCGAUCCAACUCCUCGAUGUAUAGAUCAUGGAACAGUUUCUCCAUGUGGGUGGCCCAAUGCUCGAUCACCCAAGCGUCAUCAUUCUUUCCAGUGAACUUCGGCGGAUCGAAUUUUUGAAACUCUACCAGCCUUGCCCUGAUGUGAGUGCUCUCCACUGUAGGGGUAUCAGUACUCCUAGCGAAAACCGUCGUGGUGGCCGUCGGCGUCGUUGUAGUCACGGCUGGAGCUACGGUAGGCGCAUGCAUCGCGGGAGGAUCAACGAUCACCGGAGUGUCCUGUGCCGGAGGUGGAGCUGGGGUAGCAGUAGCUGCAGCCUGCUGCUGCAAGAACUGCUGAAACAAACCAGAGAGGGUCGUCAGCUGACCCCUCAAAUCAACUACCUGGGCCUCGAGCUGCUGAGUUCGAGUACCACUCAGCGGCUCCGUGCCCAACUGCUCCCUAUCACCCCCACUCAAAGGAGCACGGGUACUGCCGGAGGUUUUCGCACCAGCACGUCCACCACCACGACCCAGAAGAGGGGGUCUACCACGAGCCAUCUGCGACAGAAAACACCGUCAAGUGAACCAAUCGACUCGACAUACACACACACCGAGACUCAAGCCCAAUACAACGCACUCACAUGCUUAUAUGCCUUAGGUCUUCCUAUGGGUCAACCUAACCAGUGGUUCAGUUAGAAAUUUGUAAAUGCAGUUGUAGUUGUUUCACGCUCUGAUACCAUCUUAAUCUGUCACGCCCCGGGGCCCAUUUUAAAAGCUUUUUUAAAAUCCAUUACCAUUUUAGAAUUCAGAGUCGUGGAAGAUGUGCCACUUUUAUUUUAUUUUUUUCAACCUGGUCCAUGUGACGUACAGACCCGCCACAAAUACGAAGUUCCUCUGUCCACUCGGACAGAGUCUCCUUUGUAUUUGCACGGCGUACCAACUGUACAACAGGAUCUCAACCACAACCUACAUUUAUCAAUCAACAACUAAUUCAUGAUAUGCAUUUUCAUACAACUAUCGAUCCUUAGAGAUGAUGCAUGCCUCUAAGCACUCCUUAGGCGCUGGAUGAUGCAAUGCACAAUACAACAAUCAUCCUAUUUAAAAGUGCUCUCUGUCCGGAAAUAUUAUUUUUAAAAUCUAAUUCAAUUAUUUACAAAACCAAUUCAAAAAUCUUUUUAAAACUGUUUUUCACAUGGAAACUCUAUUUUGAAAACCAGCUACCUCGAGGGGUAGAAAACCACAAGUAUAAAUAUAACAGCCGAAAAUCCAUAAAACCAGAACCACAGAUCCACGAUUAUCCGUUCACAUCAUGAAUAACGAAAAUAUCCACAAAACCAAUCCACGAACAGACAAACAAUCAUAGAGAUUAUCUAACUGAACCAUUUAUUAAUAAAGACUACUAAAUGCAUAAAUAAGAAUAACCCGGGUGAUGGUCGCUAUUGCCGACUAGCUAGAACAUCCUCUCGUCGCGCCCAACACCAACUCCAAGCUCGAAUCACCUGGGAAAUGGGGGGUGAGAAACCGCAACCAUGGUUUUCCAGUGGGUACGACAGAGCCACGAAGGCAAGCCGUAAUCACCGAAAACCAAAGGAGAUAGAUAAACAAGAUAUAUAUAUACUGUGAUGCGAAAAGGAAACUACAAUUGCUAUAACAUGUAUAUAAGAAGCAAGAACUAAAACUGCUACUAUAUAGAAUCAAUGCAAGUAUGCCUCAAUGUAAUAAACUAGAAACUGUAGCCAAUCUGUGCCUGCUAUAUUCGUGCGCAGACUCAAGCGCUGCCUGUCACUAUCUGCACUGAGCUGAUCCAUACGCCCCACAGGACGACCCAUCCGGAUAAGUACACCUCCGAUCGGUGGCCAAACCGAUCCGGUGUCAUGAAUACCCACAAGUGCUCUGACUAAGUCAUGCCAGUAUGCUCAAACAAAAAUCAACUAAAGCCGGUGCCUAGGCCGAAGCCAGAAACAAGGGCGUACAACGCCGAGCCACGAUAGAUAUAAGGGCGUACAAUGCCGAGCCACGAUCAACCAGAUCGAAACACAUGACAAGAGAGUCGAUGUGUUGCCUGGACCCAAGGUCCACAGAGAUGCAAAGUACAAAUGCAAGCCUGCUCUACAUAUCUAUCCAUAUCUAUCCAAAUGCAAUCAACGAGAUAAGAUAACUGAACGAUAAACAAACAACGACAUGUAGAGUCUAUAAUGCUGGAAUAGAAAAACAGAAGGAGGUGAAACGCUCUCACCGACUACCAGCUCGAAGCACCCACUUGUCAUAAAAGCGUCGAAAACCUGGGUGCGCACAAUCAGCAACCGGACCUACGAAGAUCCACUAGGUCAGUAUUCAACACACUAACCAGAAGUACACUGUCGCACAAACCCCCACACAAGUCCUCGAAUCGGUUUCCCAAAAUCGAUCACCGCAACUCACCGGAAGUCUCGAAAACCACGUCGGGACGCCGUCGGGACCUACUAAGUGUCCUGAAACUCACCGACUCGUGUCAUGAGUCACCCGCUGCCACAAAACACUCCUGUUUGGAUGUCUUGGGAGCAAACACAAGAUAACACCACUAUACAAUUAUCGCCGGAUAAUUGUAGAAUACGGGUUCCCGGAAGCGUCUAUUUUGACACCGGAACCCACCGUCGCUCACCCAUCAUCACCGAACCCACAAAAUGAUGAUGGUGACCAGCCAACAAGACUCAGCGACAAUUCACAGGAUAAACAAAUCAUGUCGGAAGAAAUCAGAACUGAAACCGCGUUCUUUCGGCGAAUUUCGCCGAAAACGCACCGAAAUUGACUCCUCGAUUUCCGCAAAAGCUAACGGAUCAUGGACAAUUAGUCCAGAGGUCACUACACACAUAUACACACUGCCCACAGUAGCCACAAGGUGCACAAUUGCACAAAAGCCCCUGUAUUUACGUAAAAUCCUAAUAUUUUAUGUAAAUCGGGUGAUAAAAUGGCUCGUUCACGCAAACCGAGGACUCCCAAGGACCGCCGAGACACGCACUGACAGGUCUCGAUGUGCCGGAGGCCAAGCUCAAGGUCCGGAGCACAACGGCUCACUGUGGAAAGCGCGGGAGCAACUCGAAGGUUCUACAAACAGCGCGCAGUCGGGGAAAAUCGUGCCGAACAGGCCGAUUCGAUAUUCGCUGAUCCAAAGUAAGGUGAGCACUGUGAUCAGGUCUGACCAACGAUCACCGUUCUCACCUCCGGAGGUAUCGGAACAGCCUUAGAUCGCCGGAACAGUGCGCGCAAACCCAUAACAACAGCCAAACAGGCUCUACAGGGUCGACACCGUCGAAACAGCGAAACGGAGCCUUCCCGAUGGAAACUAAGGUGAGCACGAUGAUCAGAAAUUUGCCACGAUCAUCGUGCUCCCUUCCGCAAAGAUCGGGAGGCCUCAAAAGGCUCAGAACAAGAAACUGCCAAAGAAAAGCCCUAAAUCGGGCUUGGCCGGAGCAAGCUUGCUCCGGCCGGCCUCCGGCGGCACGGAAAGGUGCGCGCGGGCCAGGGAUGGGUGCGGGCGAGUGGAGGAGCAAGGUGCCCACCUCAUUUGGCAGCGAGGAGCGGCGGCGGCGACGGCGGAACCAACCAAGCCCGUACCAGAUCCGCUCGGGUUCUAAGGGCUGCUGCGGCCACGGCGACGGCCGGGGCACCUCGGGGCAGCGCCGGGGAAGGUGCAGGGAGGCAAAGCAGCCUCGGCCAAGGCUCCAACCCGAGAAGAGGAGAGGGGUGGAGAGAGAUGGAGAGAGAGAGAUGAAGAGGAAGGCUGCGACUGCUGCUGGCCGGCCGGGGCUGGGUCGGCAGCGGCGGCGCAGCAAGGGCAGGGUAACCAAGGGAGGCGGCUGGGGGUUUAGCUCGGACUAGGGUUAGGGUUUUCUUAGUGCAAACCCUAAAACAAGCAAAUAUACAAGGUGCAAUAUGCGAGUUAGCCCACGAAACCUCAGUAUUUAGUACUGAGUCCCUCACAGCGCAUGUACAAUGCGCGAAUACCCCUCCACGUGCGAUCUCACACAAAACGGUACAUAAAAUGUCACGACUUUUGUGAAAUUACCGUUUUGGUAACACCGACCUCUCCACGAUCAACGCGCGAUUUCUGCAGAUCCGUCUUUCAAAUUUGCGAAUGGAUUGCACCAUUGCGAUCAGCACGACGAAGACGACAAAGCUACAAUUUUGGUUCGCGUCGAUCGAUCACGGAUUUGCGACGAAAUCCGUUUCCUCUCCGAAAGGCCAAAAUGACGCUCAAAUACAUAAGAAACAUGUAUUUUCAGAUUUUCUCGAAAUCCGUGAGUCAAACCCAAAAUCCGUCAGUGCCAUUAGUUCCAGAAUGGCUGAAUCGUUCAAAACAAGCUAUUGGAUCGCUGUGAACCGAGUCCGAUACGAGCCUGAAGCCAACUUCACACUAUGGCUUCUCCGGAAAAUCGAGUUACUAUUCACCUUAAGUGAAACUUGGAGAUCACGUAAAAUCUCCGUUUUAGCUCGAUUUCUCCCGAAACUUGACGAGUGCUUUUGUAAUUAAAUUACACACAAAAACAUCGUCAACUGAGAGUUUAGAUACACUGCCAAAAUCUCGGUCCUUACAAUAGGAGCCGAUGAACCCGAUACCGUCGGAGAAAUAGCCGUCACCGGUGCUGCCGUCACCGCAGGAGGUGGUACUACAGGAGCAAUAGGUGCGGGCGGAUCCCUCAGCACAUAUGCCGCCGCCGCCGCCUGUCGCGCCACCAACUCAUGGAGCUGUCCAAUUUGCUCCCCCUGUUGCCGCAUAGCCCCGGCCAAUGCCGCUACUUGGGCUCGCAGCUCGCGCACUUCAUCUGAUCCCGAUUGCUUAGGCACCUCAUCUGGCAAUGCCAGAGUGGAUCUACGCGUGUAGUGCCUCAGGGACAUUUGUUCCUGAAACGUAUCACACGCAUUAGUACUCGACACAUGUGACUCUUACACGUUCCAAUCAACUACCCAAUUAAGCGAAAGCAAUCAAGUGUAAUUAUUUCCAACCCUUGGCAUCAUGUGGUCGGCCGCCCCACACAAACCCCUUAAGUAGAAAACAAAUAAACACUUGAAUCCAUCUCUAAUUCCUUUUAGAGAAGUACCAACAUAAACCCAAUCAAUUAGCUUCCGCUAUUACCAAGUCCACGUUAAACAUUUCCUAAGUCCCUAAGGUCUCCAAUCCUAGGGUUCCUAAGUCCAUCCUAGACCUUUACUUUCAUCCAAUCGCUCUGAUACCAUUAUAUCUGUCACGCCCCAAUCCCCGCCAAUUUGGUCGGGUUCGGGUCACGUUAACAGACGCCGAACGAACAGCAUCUCUCCUGUCCACCCAAGGCUCUAACAACGAGUACAAUUAAGCAAUCAACCAAAGAAAUUUGCAAUUAUACAAGGCUUGCACGAGGGCAAGCAACAACGGAAGCGAAAGCUCUAAGCUAAAUAUACAACCAUGCACAAUAUUUGAUUACAUUUAAACCAAAUACUUGUAACUAAAACUAUUACAUACAAUUUGCUUCCAUUCAAAGUUCUUUACAUCUUAAUCAUUCGACAAAAAAUACAUGAUUGUUGUCAACUUAAAUAGCUAUAGAUCAACAAAAUAAAAGUUGAUAUAUGUACACAAAGGAAUGACUAAAUGCAAUACUUCGGUGGCCACUAGCUAUGGCGCAAUACCCUUGCCUCGGUUCUCCGCCGGCCUGCUCGCGCUCGGACCUGUAGGGUUAGUUGUGUGAGAACUACAAUGAAGUUCUCAGUGGGUUCGGCAACCGACCUCGCCGACUUACCCACUAGGUCUAUUCAGGCAUAAGUAUUUCAAAGGAAAGAAAAACUAGUACUGUAACCAAUGCUAAUGCUAAUACUAUGCCUGCAAGAAAGAUGUCAGUGGAUAUAUAAUCAAAAUAGAAUGCUCAUGCAUACAUGCUUGUUGUGAGGAAGUGAAUUCUCGAAAUCCGAGAGAGCAAAUAGAAUGUACUUCAUCCAGGAUCGACUAACUGUCGAGAGAAUACCCUUUGGGGAAGUUAAAAAUGUCCAAAACACAAAAAGUGCUUUGGAGUUGAGUCUGUGAGAGCAAAUAAAAAAAAAAAAUCUGGACUUGGCAGAUUUUGCUCUCGGGGACCGGUCCCUGAAGGGGAGGACUGGUCCCCAUAGCUACAGUCGCGGGGUUGCCUAAUGCAACCGGUCCCUAGGCUGAGGGGACUUGUCCCUGUGUGCGACGCUAGCGUGAAAUGCCGAAAUUUGGCUAAGUCCUGAAAGUUCCCCUUUCGGGAAUCGGUCUCUCAGGAAGGACCGGUCUCCCAGGGAUCGGUCCCUCGGGUGAGGACCGGUUCUCGUACG
RNAcentral lists this long non-coding RNA (19257 nucleotides) under Ananas comosus (pineapple). RNAcentral's name for it is "long non-coding RNA (ACOM_LNC001851)". The record is from RNAcentral. Lineage: Eukaryota; Viridiplantae; Streptophyta; Magnoliopsida; Poales; Bromeliaceae.